Molecule: ribosomal RNA, 494 nt
Filed under: uncultured bacterium
Lineage: Bacteria
Description: partial 16S ribosomal RNA
Rfam family: Bacterial small subunit ribosomal RNA
Source: RNAcentral
GACGAACGCUGGCGGCGCGCUUAACACAUGCAAGUCGAACGGAAAGGCCUGCUUUCCCUUGUAGAUUGCGGGUACUCGAGUGGCGAACGGGUGAGUAACACGUGAGUGGUCUGCCCACAACUUGGGUAUAAGCCUGGGAAACCGGGUCUACUUCCCGAUAGGACUGCAGGGUGGUGGCUGUGGUGGAAAACGAUCUUCUGGUGGUUGGGGAUGAGCUCGCGGCCUAUCAGCGUGUUGGUGGGGUAAUGGCCUACCAAGGCGGCGACGGGUAGCCGGCCUGGGAGGGGGGACGGUGAGAUUGGGACUGGGAUAAGGCCCAGACGCCUACGGGAGGCAGCAGUGGGGGAUAGUGCACAACGGGCGGAAGCCUGAUGCAGCGACGGCGCGGGGGGGAUGACGGCCUUCGGGUUGGAAACUCCUUGCGACCGAGAGGAAGCCACCUGGUUGGAAGGGUGGUGACGGUAGUGGUAGAAGAAGCACCGGCUAACUACGUG